RNAcentral lists this long non-coding RNA (205 nucleotides) under Mus spicilegus (steppe mouse). Its description in RNAcentral is "lncRNA (ENSMSIG00000029457.1)". Lineage: Eukaryota; Metazoa; Chordata; Mammalia; Rodentia; Muridae. The record is from RNAcentral.
CCCCGGAGUAUCAGCCAUGUUUGCAAGAGGCUUUAGGGAAAGCCAACUGCAGACAUUACAAAGCCCAGAGAAGUCUCAGCUUCAGGUGCUGUGGGACAUGUCACCCACAACAGCAAACACAUCUUUACUCUCAUAGGAGGCACGCACUACAGCCAAUUACAGAAUGUUCUCUGGAGCAGCAGCACUCAUGAAUAAUAAAGCAGGC